GGGGGGGGGGGGGGGGGGGGGUGGGGGGGGGGGGGCGGGCGAGCGGACGAGGAGCGGGCUCCUCUGACGGUCGCGGCGGACGGGUGAGUAACACGUGGGUAACCUAACUAUAAGACUGGGAUAACUUCGGGAAACCGGAGCUACGACCGGGUAAUAUAUUUAACCGCAUGGUUCAAUAGUGAAAGACGGUUUUGCUGUCACUUAUAGAUGGAUCCGCUCCGCAUUAGCUAGUUGGUAAGGUAAUGGCUUACCAAGGCAACGAUGCGUAGCCGACCUGAGAGGGUGAUCGGCCAAACUGGAACUGAGACACGGUCCAGACUCCUACGGGAGGCAGCAGUAGGGAAUCUUCCGCAAUGGGCGAAAGCCUGACGGAGCAACGCCGCGUGAGUGAUGAAGGUCUUCGGAUCGUAAAACUCUGUUAUUAGGGAAGAACAAAUGUGUAAGUAACUAUGCACGUCUUGACGGUACCUAAUCAGAAAGCCACGGCUAACUACGUG
Molecule: ribosomal RNA, 497 nt
Filed under: uncultured bacterium
Lineage: Bacteria
Description: partial 16S ribosomal RNA
Rfam family: Bacterial small subunit ribosomal RNA
Source: RNAcentral